This 4456-nucleotide unclassified non-coding RNA is filed under the name Anthonomus grandis grandis. Its description in RNAcentral is "protein FAM117B-like". Lineage: Eukaryota; Metazoa; Arthropoda; Insecta; Coleoptera; Curculionidae. The record is from RNAcentral.
UUUACAAAUUAGUAAUGUCACCGGCAAAAAUGUUUUUUUGACAAACCAAAAUACUGAAAUUCUACAUACCUUGCGCAAAAGAGGUUACACAAAGAUAGAAAAACCUAAUCUAAAAUAUAACUUAACAAGUCGAAGUACAUAAUUUAUUUUCUCUUAUUGUUGAGCGUACCGUCCUAAACUUUAAUCCUAUUGUAUUUUAACAGCUCACAAAAUGUAGCCAAUACUGGGGAUGAGAAUAUGUAUAUUUUGUUUAGAUAUUGCUUUGUUAGUUAUGUCCGGACAACAAAGCACUGGCGGCACUUCUUGCAGGAUGGCAAAAACGCCGCCGAAUGCGGGUAAACAAGGUCCCUUAAAAGCUACUAUACCAAUCAGCAGUGUAAUAAAGCAUCCUAACAAUGUUGGAAAUGAAACAAGUCCUGUUAGGGGAACCUCAAUAUCUCCCUUGUUCUCCUGGAGAAAUAGGACUUCACCAGAGCAUGCAUCUGGCCAACGAAGCCCUGGGUCAUCUUGCAAUAAAGUGAAAUCAAAAUACAGUGGGGUUCCAUCAGAUGUAAUGAGAAGAACAGCAUCUUUGGAUACAAUUUAUUUAAAAGGACACUGGCCAAAGGACCAGUUGUAUUGGGGAAAUAUGGGAAUAUUGCAUAUUGAUAAAGCAACACAGACAGAAGAAUCUGAUUGGACUGAUAUAAAAAAAUUCCAGUGUAUAUUAGAAACAGAGGAUAAGAAUGUUUUAAGACCAAAAAUUAGAGGAAAUACUGCAGCUGGAAGACAUAUGUCUCCCGGAGAACAUACUUUGAAUAGUAGCUCUCAAACAUUAGCAUCUUGCAUUUUUACACCAAAUCUAAAAAUUGUCCAGUCGGGCUCUGUAAAACCUAUCCCAAAGUCUUCAAUGAGAAGUUCUGUUGAAAGUUUAAAUCAAGAGAUAGAGAGGAUAGUACUUAGAACCGGCAGUGAAGGAUUGCCCAGUGAUAGAUAUGAAUUUCGUCAAGCUACGCCAGAAGGCCAUAGAGCUCCAUUGGCGGAAAUGUUGAGAUUCAGCAGAUCGCGAUCUGUAAACACGCAGACUCCUCAAGAAUUUAGUCAUUCUUCUGGUGAUAGCCAUGGAUCUAGCCCAGACAAUGAAGGCAACAAGCUGGGCACUUCGCCACAGAUAAACCGGUUUUUGGCUCGUGAGCCACCAGAUGGCUGUGAAAAGUACCUUCAAGCUAAGGCCCAGUUUAGGCUCAGCUUUUAAAAUUCUACAACCCGCUUUAAGUCCAAGCGAAGAACAAGCCGAACCACUACCUCAAAGUGAACCUGGAAGACAUUUAGGAAUAGAGAAAUAGGAAGAGAAUUUAGGACAUUUAUUGCCACAACAAAGAACUGGCAUGUAUUGCACAUUACAACGAUGCUCCUUAGUUUCUACGCCUAUUUGUAUACUACUCGGAGCCACCUGGUGUAUAUAUAGUAAAUAUUAUCUUAAAGCGGGGAGGCUGGAAAAAGAAAAGUUUCCUAUCGAGCUAUGGAUCGUCUUGUAGCGGAAAUUCAGUACGACAUUAGUUAAGUAAGCGGCUGACUUUGAUGAAGAUAACGUAUUACUUGCAAUGAAAAUUCGCAAAACUUCGUUUCUAAAAUAUUUUUCGAUGCAGGCUUUAAUAUGUAUGUAAGUGUACAAACCGCCUAUUAUGCUGCGUAUUGUAUAAUGAAAAUUAACGGGUUAUUCUAAUAACAAUAAAAUAUAAACUCUGAUAAAAGUAGAAAAAUGUAAAUACUAUACAAAAGUAAAAUUAAAACUCAAUAAACUUAAGAAAAAUUAAUUAUUUAAAUAAAAGGCUUAAACAAUAAGUACCAUAAGCGCAACAUGGCAAAAGAAGCUGUUUUCUGCAGCAUCCUCCGAAAAGGUGAAGCCUAAACUGCUUAUUUUUUCAAAAGGGAUGACGCCAAUUAUAGCACCUUGUGGGAAAGCUCUUUUUAAAAGAAAGUUGACAGUCUACUGUUCUUUUUGAAACAAAUUAACUUUUAAUUUUAAAUUGAAUAAAAAUGUUUAGAGGUGAAAAUUAAAAACAAAAUAUCCCGAUUUAAAAUGCGUAUUUUGAUUCUAAAAUCGCUAAACAAUUACCCGAGUCCCACAAAGUAUUAAGUCAGAACCCCCCAUAUUCUUUAAAGUGGAAUGAUAUCUCUUGUGCCACCUUCUAUUUUAGAAUUCCAGUUUAAAAUGGAGGUUGAUGGGACAUUUUGUUUGUCAUUUAUUUAUUAAAGUUUUAUAAAAAGUAAAAAAAAACUAUUAAGCAAUUGUUCAAAAUGAAAACCAUUUCUUGACAAAACACUAAAUGAUGAUAAGAUUUUGUUUGUGAACUUUUCUGAUCCUCAGAUUUAGUUAUUUAAUAUUUAUUCUAGCAUAGGAUUCGAAUUUCCAGAAAAGUUAUUUCCGUCAGCCUUUUCAAAUUCAAGAGUAUAACGCUUCAAAUUCUGAACAGGUAGUUUCAUAAAUAGCGGGGACAAUGGGGUCAUGGGAGUGCUGUUAAGAAAUUACAAACCGUUGAACAAUAAAAGGUAGAAGGGACGUAUUCUGCGCCGAAAGUGUCGAUGUUAAACUACUUUGCACAGUAUCGCAUUGGAUCUCUUAUUUUUGUUCUUUCUUUCUUUUUUUGGUACAUUUUAUAGCCAAGGCGUAUUUGCUUCUAUACGGGUCUUUAGAUAACAUUUGAUUGGACACCCAAAUUCUAAAGCUUUUCAACUUCUAAGCUAUGUAGAGGACAUAGGUAAGACAAGAGAUCUCAAUUACUUAUUAUGAUUUAUGAAUUUCAUUAAGUAUUUUUAAAAACGUUUCAUAUGAAACGUCUAACACACGCAGCUAAUUGACUGCGUCUAACGCACUUUCCUCUCGUAAGUCGAUAUGCUAUCGACUCCCUUGCAUGAAAAACUAAAGAAUAAUUUUUUGACAUCUUGAUAAAUCAAUUAUUAAAAUGUGAGAAAAACAUUUUUUACGCCAUAUGUUAUGAUCUCCGAGUAUAGUAAAAGUUAAAACAAUCUUUAAAAAAAAAUUCCUAUUCAGAUCCUCGAAUCAAAAUAUAACCGUUGCUUUGCGGGUAUAUCUGGAUACAAAUUUCCACAAAAAUUCGAUUAGUUUUUCCUCUUUUGGAAAAGAAAUGAACAUUUUCAUGACUUGGAUCAGACGUAGUUCGUCAGCCGCGUCUGUCCGCGGCUUCAUAGCAAACGCACUUUUAAAUCUUAAGGCAAAAUAGACAUUUACAUAAAAUUCAUAUUUUAACAAAUAAUGAAAUAUUAUUUUAAAAUAAUUGGUAUUAUUAAUAAUAAAACGAAACAGGGAAUCACUUUGUGAAAAUUGCCAUAAAGAAAUUUUUAAAGUUGCCGCUUUGAAUAUUUUUAACAUUGUUAAUUCUAAUGUAAAACAAAAUACAUAUAUGCCUAGUAAAGCAAAAUUCUUAUUGUUUGGUUAAAAGUCCUCGCAGUGAAAUCACUCUAGUAGUCAUUCCAUGACGACCUCAAAAUUGGUAUGAAGUUUGAUGGUGUCAUCAAAAAAAAUUUGGAUCGAGGUUUAAAAAAGGAGCUGUGAUUUUAAUUUCAUUUAUUCUGCAUGGAUUUUUAAUACCUAGUUAUAGUGUACAUACAUAUAAAUAAGUCGUUUUAUUUCAAGUUUUGUAUUUAUAGGUUUUAAGGAGAUACGUUUAAUUUUAAUAGAACUUUAUUAUCUUUUGGCCAAAAAAAUGUUUUAUCAACUUUAGUGUAGACCAUUAUUAUUUUUAUGAUUGCAUUGUACUAAAAUUAAAUAAAGCCACAUCUCAAAAUUCAAUCACACUAAUUCAGAGGAUGACUAAAUUUAACCAAUCUGACAUCUCAUGCCUUUUUUAAGACCCUAGUGAUGUGUCUUAGAUUUAAGAAACUAGUAUGUACAGAUUCAUUCCUUAUAUUUAGACAGUAUCUGAUGGCAUUAUUAUGCAAGGUAGAACAAAACUUUAAAUAUGAAAGUUAUCGGGCUCAUCCUCCGUCAUUAAAAAAUAUAUAAUAUUAAUAUUUAAAAACAUGAUUACCGUAUUUUCCCGCAUCGCACUUGAAAAACAGACCGGAAUAUAAACUCAUUAAAAUGACAUUGCAGUCUGUUUUUUUGGCUAAUUCAGGGCGGUUACUACUGAUUAAAACGGAUAAUGCAAAUAUUCCGAAAAUGACCCAAUCAAAUUUUAGUUGUUUGUUUUAUUCAAGGUGUUUUUCGUUAAAGAUUUGUCAGGUUUCUGUUGUUUUUCACUUUUGUGGGUUUUUCAUUUUUAUAUUUUCUGGAUAUUUAGGAUGAGCCCUACAAUUUUAUAUCCACAUGGUAUAAUAACACCAGCAUUAAAAAUAAAGAAUGGCCGUGUACAUUAAUAUUCAGUAGAACGAUAGUAACUAAUCAUUUAUAUUGUUACGUUUUUUUGUAAAAAUUUUGUAUAUGUUAACAUAUCCAAUAAAAGGUGAGACUGAA